UGGGGUGUCGCCAAGCGGUAAGGCAGUGGUUUUUGGUACCACCAUGCGGAGGUUCGAAUCCUUCCACCCCAA
Molecule: transfer RNA, 72 nt
Filed under: Verrucomicrobiota bacterium
Lineage: Bacteria; Pseudomonadati; Verrucomicrobiota
Also listed under: 1 other name
Description: tRNA-Gln
Rfam family: tRNA
About the family: Transfer RNA (tRNA) molecules are approximately 80 nucleotides in length.
Source: RNAcentral